GUGUCAGCAGCCGCGGUAAUACAGAGGGUGCAAGCGUUGUUCGGAAUUAUUGGGCGUAAAGCGCGUGUAGGCGGCUUUGCAAGUCGGGUGUGAAAGCCCUCAGCUCAACUGAGGAAGUGCGCCCGAAACUGCAGAGCUUGAGUGCCGGAGAGGGUGGCGGAAUUCCCCAAGUAGAGGUGAAAUUCGUAGAUAUGGGGAGGAACACCGGUGGCGAAGGCGGCCACCUGGACGGUAACUGACGCUGAGACGCGAAAGCGUGGGGAGCAAACAGGAUUAGAUACCCUGGUAGUCCACGCCGUAAACGAUGAGAACUAGGUGUCGUGGGAGUUGACCCCCGCGGUGCCGUAGCUAACGCAUUAAGUUCUCCGCCUGGGAAGUACGGUCGCAAGACUAAA
RNAcentral lists this ribosomal RNA (395 nucleotides) under uncultured bacterium. RNAcentral describes it as "bacterial SSU rRNA". It matches the Rfam family "Bacterial small subunit ribosomal RNA", at positions 505 to 898 of the family's 1533-position model. The record is from RNAcentral.